Long non-coding RNA from Artibeus jamaicensis (Jamaican fruit-eating bat), 755 nucleotides. RefSeq lists it as uncharacterized. NCBI's taxonomy places the organism in Eukaryota, Metazoa, Chordata, Mammalia, Chiroptera, Phyllostomidae. The record is from RefSeq and is a predicted model, not a curated record. The transcript is spliced from 3 exons.
CAAAUGCCUGGGAGGUCGAAGAGGAGGGCGGACAGAGCAGAUCCAGAAACAAGCAGAGCCCAGAAGCUAUGGAACAGAAGACAUUCUGAGUUCUGACCACUGACCCUGCUCUCAGCCGAGUGGGACAAAAGCAACAGGUGCCCCGUCCAGGAAGACAGACGAAGUCCCUGCUGCAGGAGACAUUUCCUCUUGUCUGGAAGUCAUCUUGGGGGUUUUCAAACACGUGUCCAUGGGAGAACACGGCGAAAUUUGUCACCAGGAGUGUCCAGUGAGUUCAAAGAGCUGGGACUUGGGGUCAUUCUGGCCCCAUCAUGUCUCCCCCCAGGAGGGCAGUACACGAAGUCAGACUAAACCUGUGGGGAGUCCCACUUGGACCAAUGGGAGCCCUGGCUCCAGGGCCUGGAACCUACCAGCUCUUAUGAGGAUUAAAUAAAUCGGUGCAGGAAAAGCACUUGGAACAGUGCCUGGCUCCUAGCAGACUCCAAUGUGGAGAUGCCGCCCUGAAGACCAGCCCUGACCCUGGUGCUCACAGAUGCUCCCAAAGUAGGAAAAGAAAUCAAAUUGCUCCAACAAUCCACCCGCCUCAGCUGUCUACCCAGCCUUAUGCCUCCCUGAAGGCCAGAGCGCCCUUCGAGCCACCAAUGAGACAGAUGUAGCCAGGUGACUCCAUGUGUACAGUGUUAGAGAGACAGUUACUUCCCAGCAAUGUGAGCUUACGCCCCAGCAGGGGGAGGGCUAGGUGGGGGAGGGCUAGG